GACGAACGCUGGCGGCGUGCUUAACACAUGCAAGUCGAACGAUGAAGCUGGAGCUUGCUCCGGUGGAUUAGUGGCGAACGGGUGAGUAACACGUGAGCAAUCUGCCCUUGACUCUGGGAUAACUGCGGGAAACUGUAGCUAAUACCGGAUACGAGGCUCGAAGGUAUCUUCGGGUCUGGAAAGAAUUUCGGUCAAGGAUGAGCUCGCGGCCUAUCAGCUUGUUGGUGAGGUAAUGGCUCACCAAGGCGACGACGGGUAGCCGGCCUGAGAGGGUGACCGGCCACACUGGGAAUGGGACACGGCCCAGACUCCUACGGGAGGCAGCAGUGGGGAAUAUUGCACAAUGGGCGAAAGCCUGAUGCAGCAACGCCGCGUGAGGGAUGAAGGCCUUCGGGUUGUAAACCUCUUUUAGCAGGGAAGAAGCGAAAGUGACGGUACCUGCAGAAAAAGCACCGGCUAACUACGUGCCAGCCGCCGCAGUAA
RNAcentral lists this ribosomal RNA (483 nucleotides) under uncultured bacterium. RNAcentral's name for it is "partial 16S ribosomal RNA". It matches the Rfam family "Bacterial small subunit ribosomal RNA", at positions 28 to 523 of the family's 1533-position model. The record is from RNAcentral.